AGCGAACGUUUGCGGCGGGCCUAACACAUGCAAGUCGAACGCACUAGCAAUAGUGAGUGGCGCACGGGUGCGUAACACGUGGGUAAUCAACCCUUCAGCUUGGGAUAACGACUUGAAAGGGUCGCUAAUACCGGAUACGGCGCGGGAGGCUUCGGCUUCUCACGAGAAAGCCUCGCAAGGGGCACUGAAGGACGAGCCUGCGGCCCAUCAGCUAGUUGGUGAGGUAAGAGCUCACCAAGGCGAAGACGGGUAGCUGGUCUGAGAGGAUGAUCAGCCACACUGGAACUGAGACACGGUCCAGACUCCUACGGGAGGCAGCAGUGGGGAAUAUUGCGCAAUGGGCGAAAGCCUGACGCAGCCACGCCGCGUGAGCGAUGAAGGCCUUC
This 386-nucleotide ribosomal RNA is filed under the name uncultured bacterium. RNAcentral describes it as "bacterial SSU rRNA". It matches the Rfam family "Bacterial small subunit ribosomal RNA", at positions 29 to 419 of the family's 1533-position model. The record is from RNAcentral.